UGGGGAAUAUUGCACAAUGGGGGAAACCCUGAUGCAGCAACGCCGCGUGAACGAUGAAGGCCUUUGGGUCGUAAAGUUCUGUUCUAGGUGAUGAAAACUGACAGUAACCUAGGAGAAAGCCCCGGCUAACUCCGUGCCAGCAGCCGCGGUAAUACGGAGGGGGCAAGCGUUAUCCGGAAUUAUUGGGCGUAAAGGGUACGUAGGUGGCCUUUUAAGCGUAGGGUAUAAGGCAAUGGCUCAACCAUUGUUCGCCCUAUGAACUGGAAGGCUUGAGUGCAGGAGAGGAAAGCGGAAUUCCUAGUGUAGCGGUGGAAUGCAUAGAUAUUAGGAGGAACAUCAGCGGCGAAGGCGGCUUUCUGGACUGCAACUGACACUGAGGUACGAAAGCGUGGGGAGCAAACAGGAUUAGAUACCCUGGUAGUCCACGCCGUAAACGAUGAGCACUAGGUGUCGGGGUCGUAAGGCUUCGGUGCCGUAGUUAACGCAUUAAGUGCUCCGCCUGGGGAGUACGCACGCAAGUGUG
RNAcentral lists this ribosomal RNA (523 nucleotides) under uncultured bacterium. Its description in RNAcentral is "bacterial SSU rRNA". It matches the Rfam family "Bacterial small subunit ribosomal RNA", at positions 355 to 896 of the family's 1533-position model. The record is from RNAcentral.